UAGCCUACGGGGGGCAGCAGUAGGGAAUCUUCCACAAUGGACGAAAGUCUGAUGGAGCAACGCCGCGUGAGUGAAGAAGGGUUUCGGCUCGUAAAGCUCUGUUGGUAGGGAAGAAAGAUAGAGGGAGUAACUGGCCUUUAUUUGACGGUAAUUACUUAGAAAGUCACGGCUAACUACGUGCCAGCAGCCGCGGUAAUACGUAGGUGGCAAGCGUUGUCCGGGAUUAUUGGGCGGAAAGCG
RNAcentral lists this ribosomal RNA (240 nucleotides) under uncultured bacterium. RNAcentral's name for it is "partial 16S ribosomal RNA". It matches the Rfam family "Bacterial small subunit ribosomal RNA", at positions 335 to 567 of the family's 1533-position model. The record is from RNAcentral.